GUUGUCGUUUGUUUAUGUAAUUUAUACGUGUUUCUCGUUUCUCGUUUUUUUAUAUAGAUCAGACCGUUGGUUUUCCCCGUUGAAUGUUUUACACUAGUAAUUUUGGGGCCCUUUAUAGCUUGUUGUUCGGUGUGAGCUAAGGCUCCGUGUUGAAGGCCGUACAUUGACCUAUAAUGGUUUACUUUUUUAAAUUGUUAUUUGGAUGGAGAGUUGUCUCAUUGGUACUCACACCACAUCUUCCUAUAUCCAUAUA
Molecule: long non-coding RNA, 253 nt
Filed under: Mytilus galloprovincialis (Mediterranean mussel)
Lineage: Eukaryota; Metazoa; Mollusca; Bivalvia; Mytilida; Mytilidae
Source: RNAcentral